UUUUCCAGGUAAAUCCGGAAAAUCAAGGCUGAGGCGUGAUGACGAGGCACUACGGUGCUGAAGCAACAAAUGCCCUGCUUCCAGGAAAAGCCUCUAAGCAUCAGGUAACAUCAAAUCGUACCCCAAACCGACACAGGUGGUCAGGUAGAGAAUACCAAGGCGCUUGAGAGAACUCGGGUGAAGGAACUAGGCAAAAUGGUGCCGUAACUUCGGGAGAAGGCACGCUGAUACGUAGGUGAAGUCCCUUGCGGAUGGAGCUGAAAUCAGUCGAAGAUACCAGCUGGCUGCAACUGUUUAUUAAAAACACAGCACUGUGCAAACACGAAAGUGGACGUAUACGGUGUGACGCCUGCCCGGUGCCGGAAGGUUAAUUGAUGGGGUUAGCGGUAACGCGAAGCUCUUGAUCGAAGCCCCGGUAAACGGCGGCCGUAACUAUAACGGUCCUAAGGUAGCGAAAUUCCUUGUCGGGUAAGUUCCGACCUGCACGAAUGGCGUAAUGAUGGCCAGGCUGUCUCCACCCGAGACUCAGUGAAAUUGAACUCGCUGUGAAGAUGCAGUGUACCCGCGGCAAGACGGAAAGACCCCGUGAACCUUUACUAUAGCUUGACACUGAACAUUGAGCCUUGAUGUGUAGGAUAGGUGGGAGGCUUUGAAGUGUGGACGCCAGUCUGCAUGGAGCCGACCUUGAAAUACCACCCUUUAAUGUUUGAUGUUCUAACGUUGGCCCCUAAUCGGGGUUGCGGACAGUGUCUGGUGGGUAGUUUGACUGGGGCGGUCUCCUCCUAAAGAGUAACGGAGGAGCACGAAGGUUGGCUAAUCCUGGUCGGACAUCAGGAGGUUAGUGCAAUGGCAUAAGCCAGCUUGACUGCGAGCGUGACGGCGCGAGCAGGUGCGAAAGCAGGUCAUAGUGAUCCGGUGGUUCUGAAUGGAAGGGCCAUCGCUCAACGGAUAAAAGGUACUCCGGGGAUAACAGGCUGAUACCGCCCAAGAGUUCAUAUCGACGGCGGUGUUUGGCACCUCGAUGUCGGCUCAUCACAUCCUGGGGCUGAAGUAGGUCCCAAGGGUAUGGCUGUUCGCCAUUUAAAGUGGUACGCGAGCUGGGUUUAGAACGUCGUGAGACAGUUCGGUCCCUAUCUGCCGUGGGCGCUGGAGAACUGAGGGGGGCUGCUCCUAGUACGAGAGGACCGGAGUGGACGCAUCACUGGUGUUCGGGUUGUCAUGCCAAUGGCACUGCCCGGUAGCUAAAUGCGGAAGAGAUAAGUGCUGAAAGCAUCUAAGCACGAAACUUGCCCCGAGAUGAGUUCUCCCUGACUCCUUGAGAGUCCUGAAGGAACGUUGAAGACGACGACGUUGAUAGGCCGGGUGUGUAAGCGCAGCGAUGCGUUGAGCUAACCGGUACUAAUGAACCGUGAGGCUUAACCUUACAAC
Molecule: ribosomal RNA, 1428 nt
Filed under: Escherichia coli
Lineage: Bacteria; Pseudomonadati; Pseudomonadota; Gammaproteobacteria; Enterobacterales; Enterobacteriaceae
Description: partial 23S ribosomal RNA
Rfam family: Bacterial large subunit ribosomal RNA
Source: RNAcentral